ACCAAAUUUCAAGCUACAGUUUUGUGCAAGGUGCCAGCUGACCUUUUCUGAGAUCAUUGAUGGGACUGUGGAGACUGGUUUCACUGUCACCUUACUAAGUGGGACUCCUGGACACACAACAAUUCCCAAAAAGAUCAUGGGCUUUACUCUCAGAGGUGAAGCACCAAACAGAGAAGAAAGCAGAAAAUGAGGAACUGAUGGAAUUUUUGACUACAGGGGUGCAGACUCUGUCUCAGGUUUGGUGUUGGCCCUAGAAAGAAAGAAGAUGGAAAAGGAAGCU
Zonotrichia leucophrys gambelii is the source of this 280-nucleotide long non-coding RNA. RefSeq lists it as uncharacterized. Lineage: Eukaryota; Metazoa; Chordata; Aves; Passeriformes; Passerellidae. The transcript is spliced from 4 exons. The record is from RefSeq and is a predicted model, not a curated record.